Molecule: ribosomal RNA, 705 nt
Filed under: Salmonella enterica subsp. enterica
Lineage: Bacteria; Pseudomonadati; Pseudomonadota; Gammaproteobacteria; Enterobacterales; Enterobacteriaceae
Description: partial 23S ribosomal RNA
Rfam family: Bacterial large subunit ribosomal RNA
Source: RNAcentral
AUACAGGGUGACAGCCCCGUACACAAAAGCGCAUGUGCUGUGAGCUCGAUGAGUAGGGCGGGACACGUGGUAUCCUGUCUGAAUAUGGGGGGACCAUCCUCCAAGGCUAAAUACUCCUGACUGACCGAUAGUGAACCAGUACCGUGAGGGAAAGGCGAAAAGAACCCCGGCGAGGGGAGUGAAAAAGAACCUGAAACCGUGUACGUACAAGCAGUGGGAGCACAGGUUUACCUGUGUGACUGCGUACCUUUUGUAUAAUGGGUCAGCGACUUAUAUUCUGUAGCAAGGUUAACCGCAUAGGGGAGCCGGAGGGAAACCGAGUCUUAAUUGGGCGUUAAGUUGCAGGGUAUAGACCCGAAACCCGGUGAUCUAGCCAUGGGCAGGUUGAAGGUUGGGUAACACUAACUGGAGGACCGAACCGACUAAUGUUGAAAAAUUAGCGGAUGACCUGUGGCUGGGGGUGAAAGGCCAAUCAAACCGGGAGAUAGCUGGUUCUCCCCGAAAGCUAUUUAGGUAGCGCCUCGUGAAUUCAUCUCCGGGGGUAGAGCACUGUUUCGGCUAGGGGGCCAUCCCGGCUUACCAACCCGAUGCAAACUGCGAAUACCGGAGAAUGUUAUCACGGGAGACACACGGCGGGUGCUAACGUCCGUCGUGAAGAGGGAAACAACCCAGACCGCCAGCUAAGGUCCCAAAGUCAUGGUUAAG